This 375-nucleotide ribosomal RNA is filed under the name uncultured bacterium. RNAcentral's name for it is "bacterial SSU rRNA". It matches the Rfam family "Bacterial small subunit ribosomal RNA", at positions 524 to 898 of the family's 1533-position model. The record is from RNAcentral.
UACGGAGGGUGCAAGCGUUACUCGGAAUCACUGGGCGUAAAGGAUGCGUAGGCUGGAAAUCAAGUCGAAAGUGAAAUCCAACGGCUCAACCGUUGAACUGCUUUCGAAACUGGUUACCUAGAAUAUGGGAGAGGUAGAUGGAAUUAGUGGUGUAGGGGUAAAAUCCGUAGAUAUCACUAGGAAUACCGAUUGCGAAGGCGAUCUACUGGAACAUUAUUGACGCUGAGGCAUGAAAGCGUGGGGAGCAAACAGGAUUAGAUACCCUGGUAGUCCACGCCCUAAACGAUGCACACUAGUUGUUGCCCUGCUAGUCAGGGCAGUAAUGCACUUAACAGAUUAAGUGUGCCGCCUGGGGAGUACGGUCGCAAGAUUAAA